RNAcentral lists this long non-coding RNA (225 nucleotides) under Gossypium raimondii (Peruvian cotton). RNAcentral's name for it is "long non-coding RNA (GRAI_LNC009235)". Lineage: Eukaryota; Viridiplantae; Streptophyta; Magnoliopsida; Malvales; Malvaceae. The record is from RNAcentral.
UUCCCUCUCUUUCCUUUCACUUUAUUCUUUCCUAUUUGCUAUGAUUCAUUGAACCUGGUCACUAUUGACCAAGCUUACCAUACCUCCUUGUUGUCCAUACCAUUCAUUUACCCUCAUUCUCACAUUUUUUUCAUUUUUUACUCCUCCAUUUCUCUCAACCUGAAAAUAACAACCACCACCUUCAACCACCACAUAAAAUUCCUCCACAUCAAGCUCUACCUUCAC